UACGUAGGGUGCGAGCGUUGUCCGGAAUUAUUGGGCGUAAAGAGCUCGUAGGCGGUUUGUUGCGUCGGCCGUGAAAACUCAGGGCUUAACUCUGAGCCUGCGGUCGAUACGGGCAGACUUGAGUUCGGUAGGGGAGACUGGAAUUCCUGGUGUAGCGGUGAAAUGCGCAGAUAUCAGGAGGAACACCGGUGGCGAAGGCGGGUCUCCGGGCCGAUACUGACGCUGAGGAGCGAAAGCGUGGGGAGCGAACAGG
Molecule: ribosomal RNA, 253 nt
Filed under: uncultured bacterium
Lineage: Bacteria
Description: partial 16S ribosomal RNA
Rfam family: Bacterial small subunit ribosomal RNA
Source: RNAcentral